UUCCCAUUCCUGUCCCCCCCUAUGGGCUUUGUCCAGAGCCAGUUACUUUGUCCCUCUUUUUUUCUCCCUUUGCCUUUCUCGUCCUGUUGAGACUGGUCAUCCUUUUCCCAGGGCUCGGGUGCUUCUGGUUCCAGACAAUACCUUCCCCUUGGGCUAUUACCUCAUCCCUUUCACAGGGAUUGUGGGACUGCUGGUUUUGGCCAUGGGAGCAGUAAUGGUGAGUAGCUGAGGGAACAUGAUGGGAAGCACUGAGGCCUGUGAGGCCAGACUGGAUCUGGAGUUGGGAGAUGGGAGUGGCUUGUCCUAGAUUGUCUAGUUUUGUUCCUAAGCCUUGUCCAUCCACCCCCGCUUCCCCCAGAUAGCUCGUUGUAUCCAGCACCGGAAACGGCUCCAGCGGAAUCGACUUACCAAAGAGCAACUGAAACAGAUUCCUACACAUGACUAUCAGAAGGGAGACCAGUAUGAUGUCUGUGCCAUUUGCCUGGAUGAAUAUGAGGAUGGGGACAAGCUGCGGGUACUCCCCUGUGCUCAUGGUGAGGCCCUCACUGCCUGCCCAUGCCCCUCUGCCACCAGCAGCCACCAGGUGCUUCACCUUGUUCCUCUCUGCAGCCUACCACAGCCGCUGCGUGGACCCCUGGCUCACUCAGACCCGGAAGACCUGCCCCAUUUGCAAGCAGCCUGUUCAUCGGGGUCCU
Molecule: small RNA, 695 nt
Filed under: Pan troglodytes (chimpanzee)
Lineage: Eukaryota; Metazoa; Chordata; Mammalia; Primates; Hominidae
Description: retained intron
Source: RNAcentral